Molecule: long non-coding RNA, 145 nt
Organism: Sander lucioperca (pikeperch)
Lineage: Eukaryota; Metazoa; Chordata; Actinopteri; Perciformes; Percidae
Exons: 2
Source: RefSeq, a predicted model, not a curated record
AUGUAAAACUGAUACAUGCUGAUAUAUGUUGUUUUAUACAUUAGCUAACAUAAAGCAAAGAAAUGAUAUACAGUGCACUGGCUGCAUUGUAUUUGUUGUAACUUUUCUUGUGCUUGUUUCUAUCUACUGUACUUAAAUAUACUUG